RNAcentral lists this ribosomal RNA (83 nucleotides) under Zobellella iuensis. RNAcentral describes it as "Zobellella sp. CGMCC 1.18722 partial 23S ribosomal RNA". It matches the Rfam family "Bacterial large subunit ribosomal RNA", at positions 1 to 83 of the family's 2925-position model. The record is from RNAcentral. Lineage: Bacteria; Pseudomonadati; Pseudomonadota; Gammaproteobacteria; Aeromonadales; Aeromonadaceae.
GGUUAAGUGACUAAGCGUGCACGGUGGAUGCCUUGGCAGUCAGAGGCGAUGAAGGACGUGCUAACCUGCGUUAAGCACGGGUG